Molecule: non-coding RNA, 45 nt
Filed under: Schistosoma curassoni
Lineage: Eukaryota; Metazoa; Platyhelminthes; Trematoda; Strigeidida; Schistosomatidae
Source: RNAcentral
AUCCAGCUGAUGAGUCCCAAACUGGACGAAAUGCGCGUCCUGGAU